UGGGGAAUAUUGCACAAUGGGCGCAAGCCUGAUGCAGCGACGCCGCGUGGGGGAUGACGGCCUUCGGGUUGUAAACUCCUUUCGCUAGGGACGAAGCUUUUUGUGACGGUACCUAGAUAAGAAGCACCGGCUAACUACGUGCCAGCAGCCGCGGUAAUACGUAGGGUGCGAGCGUUGUCCGGAAUUACUGGGCGUAAAGGGCUCGUAGGUGGUUUGUCGCGUCGUCUGUGAAAUUCCGGGGCUUAACUCCGGGCGUGCAGGCGAUACGGGCAUAACUUGAGUACUGUAGGGCUAACUGGAAUUCCUGGUGUAGCGGUGAAAUACGCAGAUAUCAGGAGGAACACCGAUGGCGAAGGCAGGUUACUGGGCAGUUACUGACGCUGAGGAGCGAAAGCAUGGGUAGCGAACAGG
Molecule: ribosomal RNA, 411 nt
Filed under: Actinomycetes bacterium
Lineage: Bacteria; Bacillati; Actinomycetota; Actinomycetes
Description: Actinobacteria bacterium partial 16S ribosomal RNA
Rfam family: Bacterial small subunit ribosomal RNA
Source: RNAcentral